AGGUGACUAUAGCAUCAGGGUUCCACCUCUUCCCAUUCCGAACAGAGAAGUUAAGCCUGAUCACGCCGAUGGUACUGCGUAACAGUGGGAGAGUAAGUAGUCGCCGUUUU
Molecule: ribosomal RNA, 110 nt
Filed under: Bacteroides sp. HPS0048
Lineage: Bacteria; Pseudomonadati; Bacteroidota; Bacteroidia; Bacteroidales; Bacteroidaceae
Source: RNAcentral